Molecule: ribosomal RNA, 447 nt
Filed under: uncultured bacterium
Lineage: Bacteria
Description: partial 16S ribosomal RNA
Rfam family: Bacterial small subunit ribosomal RNA
Source: RNAcentral
AGCGAACGCUGGCGGCAGGCUUAACACAUGCAAGUCGAACGCCCCGCAAGGGGAGUGGCAGACGGGUGAGUAACACGUGGGAACGUACCCUUUGGUUCGGAAUAACUUGGGGAAACUCAAGCUAAUACCGGAUAAGCCCUUAUGGGGAAAGGUUUACUGCCGAAGGAUCGGCCCGCGUCUGAUUAGCUAGUUGGUGAGGUAAUGGCGCACCAAGGCGACGAUCAGUAGCUGGUCUGAGAGGAUGAUGAGCAACACUGGGACUGAGACACGGCCCAGACUCCUACGGGAUGCAGCAGUGGGGAAUAUUGGACAAUGGGGGCAACCCUGAUCCAGCCAUGCCGCGUGAGUGAUGAAGGCCUUAGGUUUGUAAAGCUCUUUUACCCGGGACGAUAAUGACUGUACCGGGAGAAUAAGCCCCGGCUAACUUCGUGCCAGCAGCCGCAGUAA